UCAACGGAGAGUUUGAUCCUGGCUCAGGACGAACGCUGGCGGCGUGCUUAACACAUGCAAGUCGAGCGGUAAGGCCCCUUCGGGGGUACACGAGCGGCGAACGGGUGAGUAACACGUGAGCAACCUACCCUUCACUUUGGGAUAACCCCGGGAAACCGGGGCUAAUACCGAAUACGACCACCUGCGGCAUCAUAGGUGGUGGAAAGUUCCGGCGGUGAAGGAUGGGCUCGCGGCCUAUCAGCUUGUUGGUGGGGUAACGGCCCACCAAGGCAACGACGGGUAGCCGGCCUGAGAGGGUGACCGGCCACACUGGGACUGAGACACGGCCCAGACUCCUACGGGAGGCAGCAGUGGGGAAUAUUGGACAAUGGGCGAAAGCCUGAUCCAGCAACGCCGCGUGAGGGAUGACGGCCUUCGGGUUGUAAACCUCUUUCAGCAGGGACGAAGCG
This 449-nucleotide ribosomal RNA is filed under the name Actinomycetota bacterium. Its description in RNAcentral is "bacterial SSU rRNA". It matches the Rfam family "Bacterial small subunit ribosomal RNA", at positions 1 to 452 of the family's 1533-position model. The record is from RNAcentral. Lineage: Bacteria; Bacillati; Actinomycetota.